Long non-coding RNA from Panicum virgatum (switchgrass), 801 nucleotides. RefSeq lists it as uncharacterized. NCBI's taxonomy places the organism in Eukaryota, Viridiplantae, Streptophyta, Magnoliopsida, Poales, Poaceae. The transcript is spliced from 3 exons. The record is from RefSeq and is a predicted model, not a curated record.
GCCCCAUUCCAGCCCGGUUUCAAUCCCCACCUCCCACCCUCCGGAUCCAAUCUGGGAUCGACGCGGAGAGGGGAGGGCGACGGGGCGCGGCAGGCGGCGCGCUUGUGGGCGACGGCGCAGCGGCACGGCAGCGCACCGGCGGCGAGCUUUUGACCAAUGGAAGAGUAGGCCUCCGGAACGUCUCUGUCCGCUGGGUUCACCUGCUCGGGUGAGGACGGCAAUCACGUUUUUGGGGAGUGUCGGCGGUGGCACGACUACUCGCUUCCGUUCCUGUUCCCUGCGUUGGCUGCUUCCGUUCCUGUUCCCGGCAUUGGCAACUUUCGUUCCUGUUCCUGGCGGCACGACAUCGAGCGGACGAUCUUCACUGCAACACUUCUGCACUGCAUCGAGCGGGACGACUACAUCAACAAAGCACCAUGUCGCUUUCGGGUGUUUCCGGCUCUGCCACUGGUUUGUUCAUGCAGGUUGAUGAGACCCAAGUUUGAGAUGGUGGACGGCAUGCAAGCUUCAAGAUCUAAGUUUGAGACGUGCAAUUGCUCAUGCGCUAUAUAUCUCCUGCUCCUCUUCCUCCUUUAGAUCUCUAUAUCUAGCUUUUUGAUUGAGUGAUGAUUGUUUGGAGCUGUUAUCUACAACUUUUGUGCAAGUUUCAGAUAAUGUCCUCUUGUAAUUUAAGUGUGAAGAACUCUAUUACUUAUGAAUUCCUUCAGUACAAGUAGUUACUGCAUUUUUCUUGUUUACUAUUGUAUUUACUGAUGGAUGAAAGCCUGUAUGAUGGAUGGAUGGAAGCCUCUAUGUGUUAUA